ACCAUACACGCCUAACAUCGACUUAGGUAUUCUACCAAGAUACUCGAUCAGUUAAAACGCGACCUUCAACGCAUACGCAGAUUAACAACAUACACUCGCAAGAUUUUGAUUCCAUUGAAGUUUAAAGAGAUGAAGACUCUGACAGUGUUUUUUCUUGGCUUCCUGGCUGUCGUCGUGUUGAUGGCAAGUACUACGCAUGCGCGGAGGUACUGCAUGCACAGUGUUAGAGAAAUUGAUCUAUUUCUUCAGUACAACUGCCAGAAUGCCCUUGUUUUACACAACAGAUCUGUUCCUCAAAGAAAGAGAGCCAGCAAAUUCCAAUCAAAGAGAAACGGCUGUCGACCAAUGACAAUCCAGGAUUACGUAACCUUCCACGAGGAGUGCUGCGAGCGAGACAUUGGCUGUAGUGACCAGGAGGUAACGAGCUUCUGCUGUCUACAAUAAGCGCGGGCUCAACGUCGAUUCACGUCAAGCUCCAUUCACCUGAAAAAACAACACAACAAGAUGCAUAUAGCUGCAUUUGUUAGUUAGUCUUUAAAGAAAUCUCUAUAUAAAACAAAUCGUUUCAGAUGGAAAAAUGAUGGCUUUAAUUGUCUACAAAACGCGCGCACGCAAUGCUGACUUGUUCUUUAUUAACUUUGUCCCUCUUUUCAUCUUAAUAUCUAGGUAAUAAUAUCAAAAGUACAAAUAAAUUGAAAUUAAAGUUUCUUGAACAGUU
Actinia tenebrosa (Australian red waratah sea anemone) is the source of this 718-nucleotide long non-coding RNA. The record is from RefSeq and is a predicted model, not a curated record. Lineage: Eukaryota; Metazoa; Cnidaria; Anthozoa; Actiniaria; Actiniidae.